AUAGAUGCUGUGGAGUGCUGUGAUUUGGGCACGCUAGUCUGCCACGCUAAGUGUUCGCUCUGGUUGUUAACUUCGGCCCUCUCCCAAUACUCAAAAAAAAAAAAAAACUCGUGGAGCACAGUGUAGAACAACGAUGUCAGCAACCACAUGGUUUUGCCUGAUUCGGCUCCUGAUUGUCGUCCUCAGUUUACUGUUCCUUAUCAGCAGCAGCAGCGUUACUGCAGAUAGCCCCAAGCCACCUAGUGGUGAUCCGAACAACCCCAGUGCACCAUUGUGCAGUCCGUUCUCACCUUCUUGUCAUUAGCACCUGAGAGAAGCCAGGGAGCUCAUCCUGAUUGUACAAAAUGCAUAGAAUUUGAGAAGAUUACCUGGUUUCCUAUAUAUGUGCUCAUCCUAGUUCUGCAUAUUUGAAAGAGACUGCAUUUUCCAUGUCAGUAAACUUGAAUAAAGCAAGUAGGCUAUGUAUCUUGUAAUAGGAAUUAGUAUAUCAAGGCCUUUUAGCGAAA
Long non-coding RNA from Panicum virgatum (switchgrass), 506 nucleotides. RefSeq lists it as uncharacterized. The transcript is spliced from 2 exons. The record is from RefSeq and is a predicted model, not a curated record. NCBI's taxonomy places the organism in Eukaryota, Viridiplantae, Streptophyta, Magnoliopsida, Poales, Poaceae.